This 468-nucleotide ribosomal RNA is filed under the name uncultured bacterium. RNAcentral describes it as "partial 16S ribosomal RNA". It matches the Rfam family "Bacterial small subunit ribosomal RNA", at positions 28 to 507 of the family's 1533-position model. The record is from RNAcentral.
GACGAACGCUGGCGGCGUGCUUAACACAUGCAAGUCGAACGGACAGGCCCUGCUUUUGUGGGUUGCUCGAGUGGCGAACGGGUGAGUAACACGUGAGUAACCUGCCCUUGACUUUGGGAUAACUUCAGGAAACUGGGGCUAAUACCGGAUAUGAGCUCCUGCUGCAUGUUGGGGGUUGGUAAGUUUCGGCGGUUGUGGAUGGACUCGCGGCUUAUCAGCUUGUUGGUGGGGUAGUGGCUUACCAAGGCUUUGACGGGUAGCCGGCCUGAGAGGGUGACCGGCCACAUUGGGACUGAGAUACGGACCAGAAUCCUACGGGAGGCAGCAGUGGGGAGUAUUGCAGAAUGGGCGGAAGCCUGAUGCAGCAACGCCGCGUGCGGGAUGACGGCCUUCGGGUUGUAAACCGAUGUCGCCUGUGACGAAGCGUGAGUGACGGUAAUGGGUAAAGAAGCACCGGCUAACUACGUG